AACACGUGGGGAAAUUUUCCCUAGGAUGGGGGAUACCAUUUGAAAACGGAUGAUAAAUUCCUCAUUUUUUUUCUAAGACCGCAUGGUCUAGGAAAGAAAAGCGGCUUUGCUUGUCCGUUCUUAGAGAUCCCGCGGCGUAUUUAGUUAGUGGGUGGGGUAAAGGCCUACCAAGGCCAUGAUACGUAGCCGACCUGAGAGGGUGAUCGGCCACACUGGGACUGAGACACGGCCCAGACUCCUCCGGGAGGCAGCAGUAGGGAAUCUUCCACAAUGGGUGAAAACCUGAUGGAGCAAUGCCGCGUGAAUGAAGAAGGUCUUCGGAUCGUAAAGUUCUGUUAUUAGAGAAGAACAAGUCAAGGAGUAACUGUCUUGACUUUGACGGUACCUAACCAGAAAGUCACGGCUAACUACGUGCCAGCAGCCGCGGUAAUACGUAGGUGACAAGCGUUGUCCGGAAUUAUUGGGCGUAAAGGGAGCGCAGGCGGUUGGAAUAGUCUGAUGUGAAAGCCCACGGCUUAACCGUGGAAGGUCAUUGGAAACUGUCCAACUUGAAUACAGAAGAGGUAAGUGGAAUUCCAAGUGUAGCGGUGAAAUGCGUAGAUAUUUGGAGGAACACCAGUGGCGAAGGCGACUUACUGGUCUGUAAUUGACGCUGAGGCUCGAAAGCGUGGGUAGCAAACAGGAUUAGAUACCCUGGUAGUCCACGCCGUAAACGAUGAGUGCUAAGUGUUAGGGGGUUUCCGCCCCCUUAGUGCUGGAGUUAACGCAUUAAG
Molecule: ribosomal RNA, 773 nt
Filed under: uncultured bacterium
Lineage: Bacteria
Description: bacterial SSU rRNA
Rfam family: Bacterial small subunit ribosomal RNA
Source: RNAcentral